AAACUAAUUGCUUGUAUUUUUGACAAUGGAACCAACUUGCUACAAGAAUAUCUUCUGGAAAUUGGAUGUUAAUGAAAAAUCAGGACAUCCCUGCUGGUUCAGUAGACUGUGGAGUAGACACGUUGAUGGUAUUUGAAUAUGAACUGAGAGCAGGCUGGCUGUGUGGCUGAAGAAGGGCAGC
Polypterus senegalus (gray bichir) is the source of this 181-nucleotide long non-coding RNA. RefSeq lists it as uncharacterized. NCBI's taxonomy places the organism in Eukaryota, Metazoa, Chordata, Cladistia, Polypteriformes, Polypteridae. The record is from RefSeq and is a predicted model, not a curated record. The transcript is spliced from 4 exons.